RNAcentral lists this long non-coding RNA (395 nucleotides) under Linum usitatissimum (flax). RNAcentral's name for it is "long non-coding RNA (LUSI_LNC001423)". Lineage: Eukaryota; Viridiplantae; Streptophyta; Magnoliopsida; Malpighiales; Linaceae. The record is from RNAcentral.
GAUCAGUCACUCAAGAAAGGAAAGUCAACCUCCCAAGCAAAGCUAGAUAAUCCUUCGAAUCAAGCUUCGCGAAGUGCUGAAGUACUGUCCUUGUCAGAAAAGCUUGGCAGUUCCUUAAAACUCAAGUCCGGCAACAAUGCAGGAAGGGUAGUAAAUGCUGGAAGAAGUAACACUGACUUGGGAACAGGACAGAAAUCAUCUAAGGUAGCUCCUCUACGGAAACUGCAGAUGCCGUCUCCGAAAGUCUUGUUAUCAUCACCGAAACAUAAUGUCUCUGGAAGAGUAGCUAGAGCUUUGUCUUCUCCCAGGGUUUCCUUGUCCCCUAGAUCUUCUCUUGCUGGAGUUGCUGGCCUAAAUGCAGCGAAAAAUCGGGGUGGAAAAGUUACAUCUGGUUU